CUGUAGUGAGCAGGAUCUUGCUGCAUCUUCUGGCAUUGAUGCCCCUGUGGAAGGUGGCCCCAUCGCGGGACAUUGUUCUGCAUCCAGUGAGAAACAACAGCCUGCAU
RNAcentral lists this long non-coding RNA (107 nucleotides) under Dermacentor andersoni. RNAcentral's name for it is "uncharacterized LOC126524056". The record is from RNAcentral. Lineage: Eukaryota; Metazoa; Arthropoda; Arachnida; Ixodida; Ixodidae.